Non-coding RNA from Paramisgurnus dabryanus, 5232 nucleotides. NCBI's taxonomy places the organism in Eukaryota, Metazoa, Chordata, Actinopteri, Cypriniformes, Cobitidae. The record is from RefSeq and is a predicted model, not a curated record.
AUGGCAUCUGUAUAAAAGGCUGUUAAAGGAAAGAGACUUUUACUGUGGGACUUUGAUUUUGAUAAGUGCAAUUCCUGACCUUUCCAGGAGCUGCGUUCUUGUUCACUACCUGCUGUGUUAUAGUUGUAAUACUGAGAGAACGUCAGCGGUUUAAAUAUAAGUUUCUCCUGCCUGUCAUUCUGGUUUAUCGUUGGUGAUUUGGUGUUAAAGUGCAAGUACAUGACUAACUAUGAUUUAAUACACUUUGAAAAAGAAGCUCCCAUCUCCUCAUAAUGUUUUGACACACAAUGACCACAAAGACAUUAACCCACCUUUAUGCAACUGAGGUGCUUGCUGGCCACUGCCCAGUUAGCGUCGACUGCCUCUGGUGACUUAAACAGGUAAAUGCCAUCAAUGUCAAGGCUGGCUGGUCCCUGGAACUCAGCAAGGAUGGACUCUAUCACCAAAGCAGUCUCCUGUAACACAACCCUUUUGGAGGUGAAUAAAGAAUUUGGCUCUGUUUGAUCACAACGGUAGUGGCAGAUGUCCAGCCUGAUGAAGGUACCUCUCUUCACCCAGUUUCCAAACCGAUUCUCCAAGAACAACGGACUGCUGUCACUGAAAAUAAUAUCAUGAUAUUUUGUGUAGGUGUGUUACAUGUUGGAUUAUCCAUUUCAUCAUAGGUUUCAACUGCUCUUUGAAAUCACCGACAGCAGUUGUUGUUCGCGUACACCACCUUCAGGGCAGGAGCUUUGGCACAGCGAAAACAAGACCUCUGGCCAUGCGUGCGUAACACCCCUUGGACGCCACAACCACUGUGGUCAAGAACUGACCCCACUUAUUCAGCAUGCUGGUGACGUACUGCAUAAUGCCCUGGCCGUCGCCGUAGAUCUUCUUGAGAAUCUAUGAGGCUGUUUAUACUUGGCAUUAGCAUGCGUUUUCAUCGAUCGGAGCACAAGUGGACGACGGUAAUGCCAGGUGUAAACGGUGUUCAAAAUGUUUUGAGCUCGUCCAGUUUCGACCACUUUCAACCACAUUCAGAGGUAGUCGAAAACCCUUUCGAUUGGAUUGCUUUUGUAGUGUAAACGCACAUGUGGUUGUAUAUGUUCGAACAGCCACACGCGACCACCUUCUCUCUGCCCAUUUAUCUAAUCUGAGGUACUAAACUCAAUUUUUUACGUCUUUUCUGACUUCUUGCGCGAACACACGGUGUACAGCACUAUUAUUGAUAAAACUAAAGCGGCUGAUCUCCGCAGUUUCAUUUUGCAAGCAUGUGAAAGUUGUACGAUCAUAUUUCAUCAAUUGCGCUUAAAAUUCAGAGAAAGCUCUAACAAAUACAUGUACAAAACACUGUGCAGCAUGUUUACUUACAACAAAAGCAGUGGAUUCAGACAUAAUAUUAGUUUGUGUCCAUAUAAACUCGCCAUUCCUCCCGCUCAAAUUUAAAUGACAGGAGAUGGACUCAACAGACCACCCCCUCACAGUAUUCAGGACAGAAGUGGUAAAAAGUGGUGAAAGAGACGGAUAUAAAUACCAGGUGUAAACGUAAUGUGUCUCUCUCGUCCACUUGUGAUCCGAUCGAUGAAAACACAUCUUAACACAAAGUGUAAACAGCCCCUAUAAAAAUAAAGCAGAACGUGUGGUGUUUAUCAACAGUCAGUCUGUUCCAUAUGAUCACAAGAACUUUUGGCUAUACAUACCUUAAUCGUGCCAUCAAUGCACAAGAUUUCCCCAGUCGUACUGAGGAUUUGGUCCCUGUACACGGGUAUCUUCUCCAUCUCCAGGAUCGCCUCAGGACCCGAGCAGAUGGAAGUGGAGACAGGGCGAUGGGAGGGGUGUAAGUGCCAGCUGCUCUGGCAAACGAAAGGAUACCUCGCUGAGAUGAAGAUGGUGGGCAUCAUACAGGAGAGUCUGGUACAGGUCCCGACGUUCCACGUACCACUCGUCGUGGCCCUGCUCUGUAGCAGCCUCUGCACUUUACUCAUUGAGACUGCGUUGAGUCGGUCGCUCAUCAGGGUGACCACACUCCUGUCCACAGCACACUUGCCGCAGAUUAUGGCAGGGAACAUGCUUCUGACGGCCGGGGUGAGGUUCAUCAGAUUUUUGGACUGUACGCCAGCCAGGCGUACUGCUGCUGGGCAGCAUGGUGGGCCCCGUCUUCCUCGUCGUUGUCUCACCCCCCGACCUUUCUACAGCUCACCCCCGGACCUCUUGGCAGCCGCCACUGCUGUCUUGCGAUCCAGCCAUGUAGGGUCAACAACGGUGCUGGGGGCCUCUGCCACAGACUUUGCUGCCUCUGUACACUGCAGCCUGGCCUCUCCUUGCUGGUACAAAACGAUGUUGGGGUACUUGUGUUGCUGUUGAUUGCUGACCAGCAAUGAUUUGGUGGUCAAGCUCUUCCUGCAGACAUCACAGUCAAUAUCCCUGACGACGGCAUGGAUCUUCAGAUGCCUCGUCAGGUUGGACUUUUCGGUGAAAGUCUUGUCGCACACACUGCACCGAUGUCUAGGCUUCUCCAUGUUUCAUUUGGUACAGUAAAACAUAAAUAAAUGAGUAGAACUAAAAGCAGAUGAGGGCUUAAAUACAUUUUUAGAGACGCUGCAGCACUCGUAAAAGUAGUAAUGGAAAACAGCCCAUUCAUUCACUUUGUUUUAAGCAUGCAAAUCAAGGUUGACAUGUUUACACUUCUAAAGCAUAUUUACACAUCGAAUUUCAAUUCCCCAUUGUUGUAACACCAUUCUAUGCACUGCAAAAAAUGAAUGUCUGUCUUAGUAUUUUUGUCUUGUUUUCUAAUAUAAAUAUCUAAAUAGAGAUACAUUUACUUGAUAAGCAAGUAGCCUAAGUAUAAACGAUGAAAAUCAAGAGUUUUUUUACUUCAUCUGCUAGUGCAGUAAGAAACAUAAGCUUAAUUCCAGUUUCAACUUAAUUCAAUAAACUUAAUUUAAGCUGAUUUUUCUUAAACAAAUGUAAGAAUUUAUGUUAGAAAACAAGACAAAAAUACAAAGUAAAACAUUCAUUUUUUGCAGUGUGGUCUUAAGAAGUGUCUGAUCAUGUUUUUGAAGUAUUUCCAGGGAUCGUUAGGUCAUUGCAGCAGCGAUUAGUAGCUGAUUAAUUCAUUUUCAAUGCAUUCGGUUAAUAAAUAAUAUAUAUUAUAUACAGUUUUUCCCUGUUGCUUAAACACUAUAGACCCAUGCUUAGACUAAAGUAACACAACUUAAAGCUUUUGAUACCAUACCUCAAACACAUGUACUCAUACUUUAAACCAAAGCGCUGCUUUGCACUCUAGUUGAAAUUCUGCAACACACUUACCCCUUUAUGCAACACACUUGAUCUUCAUUCAAAAAUGAAAUCUCAGGGUGCCAUUUGGAAAACACAAAACACAUGGGGUAAUUGAAACCACUCAAAUACACACCUAAAGGCACUCACUUGCAAAACUGAACACCAAUCAACCAGCUACAAAAAAGUCCUCAUUUUAGCCAUUUCAAGAACUUUGCAAGCAUGGAUUGAGGGAGAGCAAGAGGCAGAGGUAGAGCAAGAGGAAGAUGAGGACAAGGUCAAGGUCGAAGAGUCCAUGCACGGACCCUUAUUUCUGAUGAUAUAAGAGCAACUUUGGUGGACCAUGUCAUCAACCAUGGCCUGACUAUGAGGGAAGCUGGGCAGAGAGUCCACCCACAUCUAAGCAAUCACAGGGGUAUCUGUAAUAAGAACAUUCCGACUAGAAAACAGAAUGACUAGAAGACCUUCUGGGGGAGAAUGCCAACGCCUGUUCACACAACAGCAGAAACUUGCCAUUGUGGAGCUAGUGGGGGCAGACAAUGCCAUCCGUCUCCACCAGCUACGAAAAUACUUGCAGACAGGCAAGUGUUCAACAACAUAAACCAUGUGAGCAUCACCGCCAUCAGACGCAUCUUGAGAAAACACCACAUCAUCAUGAAGCAGCUCUACAUACCCAGUGUAUGGGUCAAAGGACUUCUAGCUGAAUAUGUACAGAGAAUCUUGGCCAUGGAUGGAGCUGUACAGCCUCAUGUACCUAGCGGGAGAAGACAUUGCUUGCGAUGUCGAUGAGGUCCUGUGGCCAGACCCCAACAGACGGCAGGAUCCAUGAGCCCACGUAUGCACAAUUGCCAUGAUUUUCUGUGUUUACAGUGUAGUGUUUUUUCAAUUUUCUUUUUUUUGCUUUAACUGGAUUCACGUAACUGUAAUGUACAGUGCUGCAAUGUACAAUAUUGAGUAGGCCUACUUGCUUUUUUGGUUGUUUGAAAAUGUGCCUCCUGAAAAUAUGUCUUCUGAAUAAACAGUACAAAUCAAAGACUGCAGUGUUUUAUAUCAAGCAGACUAGUGUGUUCCCCCUGAUCUGAAAGUGUAUGCAUAUGAUGCAAGUAUGUGUCAUUUUGUCAUUAGUGUUACAUUUUGACAAAGGAAUGUUAGGUUUUGAUAGCAGAGUUUAGGUUUUGAUAGUAGAGUUUCAAUUUUACACAGAUGUGAAUGGUAUAUUUCCCAGUGUAGUGUCAUGUUUACUUGUGUGUAGAGUUUUGGCACAAUGAGCGAAGUUUUGCGAAAUGUGUUCAAGCAAUGGGCUAAAACUGCAUAUAAGCAUAUUUAAACUUUACAUUUCGAGUCCAUACAACAGUGUGCACCUGGCUUAAGAGAUCAAACAACCAGCUUUAAACUUUUUCGGCUACCAACCGCCCUUCUGCCCCUGGUAGGAUGAACCUUGGAUGUCCAUCAGUCAACCAUUGGUUCGGUGAGAGUGAGAGGGUAUGGGACUCAGCUUCAAUCAUUUGCAUCAGAAGACACAAGGGCAGCAGAUACACGUCGUACACGGAUAAGGAAUAUCAUUACAGUUUUAUUUCAAUUGCUAAACGACAGUGGGCACAACUGGAGUCACGUGUGCAAAACUCUAACUACAGUUUGCACAGCAGCAGUUCAUGUGGACCAAACUCUAGUUCGUUUUUCAUUGCUUGAACACAGUUUUCAAAACUCUGCACACUUAUCCCAUGACUUAGACACAACGUGCACAACGCUGUGGAUUUACAGCACUUUGUUCAAAUCCUAACACACUGCUGUCAAAACUGAACCACACAUUCAAAACAGAAUUGAUUUCAGCCUUGUGCCUUUCCAAAACUGCUGAUUGCAAUUUCAGCUGAAAGGCUAAGCUAAGGUCUCUUGAUUGAGACUUGUUAGUGAAUUACAGUAGGCCAUGUACUUUUAGUGUCUACCUUUUUUCUCAUUACAGUAAUUCCGUAAAUUACU